CAUGCGUCCGGGGCCGAACGCCACCGCGCUGUUAACCUUUCCUUAAGGAUAAAGUAGCGGGCACGGCGGGAUUUUGCGAAGCCUAGGGACGAGCCAGCCGGCACUGCGGAUCGCAUGACACCGGUGUGUGCAUCGAAUUGUUCUCGUGCGUUGUGAGUCCCGACGGAUGUCGCCUGAAGCCCUCAAUUCCUUCUUCGCCAUUUUCAUUGGAUUUGCGCUUGCGGGGGCGCUGACCAGCGGCUUUCAGGCUUUCA
RNAcentral lists this unclassified non-coding RNA (254 nucleotides) under Hevea brasiliensis (rubber tree). Lineage: Eukaryota; Viridiplantae; Streptophyta; Magnoliopsida; Malpighiales; Euphorbiaceae. The record is from RNAcentral.